AACGGUCUAUACCUGCGGUACCUGCGGAGGGAUCAUUCGUAUUCAUACCGCCCAGCCAUGGAUUCGUCCGAGUGCUGGGCAUUUUCGCACCUACACAACUGUUGUUGGUGGCUGUGGCGGGUUUCGCUGCAGUCGCUUUGUGCUGGCUGAGCAGAGGCGCAGUUGCGCCGCUUGUAAUUAUUUACUACACAACUUUCAACAAUGGAUCUCU
This 211-nucleotide unclassified non-coding RNA is filed under the name soil metagenome. RNAcentral describes it as "partial contains 5.8S ribosomal RNA, internal transcribed spacer 2, and large subunit ribosomal RNA". The record is from RNAcentral.